This 72-nucleotide transfer RNA is filed under the name Fasciola gigantica. It matches the Rfam family "tRNA". From Rfam's summary of the family: Transfer RNA (tRNA) molecules are approximately 80 nucleotides in length. Their secondary structure includes four short double-helical elements and three loops (D, anti-codon, and T loops). Lineage: Eukaryota; Metazoa; Platyhelminthes; Trematoda; Plagiorchiida; Fasciolidae. The record is from Rfam by way of RNAcentral.
ACCACGAUAGCUCGACUGGUAGAACAUCUGCCCGGCAUGCAGGGGUUGCCGGUUCGACUCCGGCUCGCGGCG